AACGAACGCUGGCGGCAUGCCUAACACAUGCAAGUCGAACGAAGGCUUCGGCCUUAGUGGCGCACGGGUGCGUAACGCGUGGGAAUCUGCCCUUGGGUUCGGAAUAACUCAGAGAAAUUUGAGCUAAUACCGGAUGAUGACGUAAGUCCAAAGAUUUAUCGCCCAAGGAUGAGCCCGCGUAAGAUUAGCUAGUUGGUGGGGUAAAGGCCUACCAAGGCGACGAUCUUUAGCUGGUCUGAGAGGAUGAUCAGCCACACUGGGACUGAGACACGGCCCAGACUCCUACGGGAGGCAGCAGUGGGGAAUAUUGGACAAUGGGCGAAAGCCUGAUCCAGCAAUGCCGCGUGAGUGAUGAAGGCCUCGGUUGUAAGACCUGUCGAGGGGACGGAAGGUUAC
This 396-nucleotide ribosomal RNA is filed under the name uncultured bacterium. RNAcentral's name for it is "bacterial SSU rRNA". It matches the Rfam family "Bacterial small subunit ribosomal RNA", at positions 29 to 455 of the family's 1533-position model. The record is from RNAcentral.